AGAGUUUGAUCCUGGCUUAGGAUGAACGCUGGCGGCGUGCUUAACACAUGCAAGUCGAACGGAACACCGUUUUCGGAAUGGUGUUAGUGGCGGACGGGUGAGUAACGCGUGGGUAACCUGCCUCGAACUGGGGGAUAACGGUUGGAAACGACCGCUAAUACCGCAUAAGCCCACAGUACCGCAUGGUACAGAGGGAAAAGAUUUAUCGGUUUGAGAUGGACCCGCGUCUGAUUAGUUAGUUGGUGGGGUAACGGCCUACCAAGACGACGAUCAGUAGCCGACCUGAGAGGGUGAUCGGCCACAUUGGGACUGAGACACGGCCCAAACUCCUACGGGAGGCAGCAGUGGGGAAUAUUGCGCAAUGGGGGAAACCCUGACGCAGCCAACGCCGCGUGAGUGAGGAAGUAUUUCGGUAUGUAAAGCUCUAUCAGCGGGGACGAAGAUGACGGUACCCGCAGAAGAAGUCCCGGCUAACUACGUGCCAGCAGCAGC
RNAcentral lists this ribosomal RNA (492 nucleotides) under uncultured bacterium. RNAcentral's name for it is "bacterial SSU rRNA". It matches the Rfam family "Bacterial small subunit ribosomal RNA", at positions 8 to 518 of the family's 1533-position model. The record is from RNAcentral.